Non-coding RNA from Podarcis lilfordi (Lilford's wall lizard), 66 nucleotides. The record is from the annotation of a GenBank genome assembly. NCBI's taxonomy places the organism in Eukaryota, Metazoa, Chordata, Lepidosauria, Squamata, Lacertidae.
GGAGCUCAGUGGUGGAGCAUCGGUUUUGCAUGCAGAAGACCCCAGGUUCAAUUCCUGGCAUCUUCA